This 1450-nucleotide long non-coding RNA is filed under the name Zonotrichia albicollis (white-throated sparrow). Its description in RNAcentral is "lncRNA (ENSZALG00000000006.1)". Lineage: Eukaryota; Metazoa; Chordata; Aves; Passeriformes; Passerellidae. The record is from RNAcentral.
CAUUAUUUUACUCCUCUUGAAACAUUUUUGGAGGUGUAAAUCAGUGAAUUCUAUUCUACCCCACUUUAAAGCUGAAAAAAGGAACUACAGAGGAAUCCUCAGUUUUGGGACAGGGUUGUUGAGAUGCAAUGGCAGCAGGAUCUCAGCCCUGGGAAAGAUUACAAUCUCAUUAUUAGUCAAGAGGAAGCAGGAAAGGGAAAGGUUGUAACAAAUGAGGUUUUGUUUUUGUUGCCUGUUAUCAGAUCACUGUGCACUGCAAAGAUGAGUGGGAUCUAUGUUACAAGGAUCUACAUCCUCGCUUUAGAUCUCUGUGUCCUCUCCAUCUCUUGGGUCUUCAGGGUUCUUGCUGUGGAAAUAUCUGUGUGCUUCGUGUCACAUUUCUUCCACAGAAACUGUUCAAACUCUGAGAACAGAAGUGUUCCCUGCACCUGUAUUACAACUUUCCUAUGAAUUUCUUCAUUUAGAAACCAGUUUUUCUGAAAGAAGUGACAGUGCUUGACUUCUACACUGGUGGAAGGAUUUUCUGUUGGGGAAUCCCUUCUCCAUCAUUUCCUUAUUUGAACCUGGAAUGUCUUUAGGACCAGAUGUAAAAGUUUUGAAAUUAAAAGGUAAUAAGAAAUUCAGUGAGACUCCUUCUUAGCCCAGGGAAGAUAAAACUCUUCCUAAGCAGCUAGGAACAGAAAGUGCUUUUUGUGAAAAUAAUACAUGGUAUGGACUAAUAACCCCACCUGUAACACCCACUGUAAAUUCUAUCCACUGCCAGGCUGACACUCCUGGGCUUCCAGCACCUUCUUUCCUUUGUGUCUACCUUAGAUAAGUUUGUUGCCUAUAUUUUCAUAAAGAAUUUAACUAAAUUUUUUUUAUUUCCUUUUUUUUCCUUCCUGUCAUCCACAUACUGCUAUUAUUCUACUCAUCAGGGGAUCAUAAAGCCAUAGCCUUGCAUCUUAUUAACAAUAGAACUAGUAAUUGUUAAUAUAGAACACUGACAGGCAUAAUUACACAACAAAUAACUUCACAUUUUAAUCCCUUAACACAUAAUUUAUGUUACUCAUUUACUAAUCCCCAUUUCACAACACAAUUUACACAUUCUUUUAUUAGCGAGUUAUUUGGGCAUGAACACUUGGGUUAUUCACUUAAACAGAUACCUGGAAUUUAAUAAGCCUUACAUAUCUUUUUCAACAUCCAUAACAAGUCUGAUUACAGAGUCUUUUGCUAGGAUACCACUCUUGCCAGGCUCCAUUUGGGGUGUGAAAUUCAGUCCAUUAAUCAAGCACCCAUAAUAGCAGUACUGACAGUACCAGAGCAGAGAGCACAAACAUCCUAAUCACCCCCUGAAUUAUUUAAGAACAGGAAUAGUUUAGCACAAUGGGAGAUCUCCAAAAUUAAUUUUUGCCUUUUGUUAAAGCUCUCUCAUUUUUCACCACUUUUGAAUAGUUGUCCCAAAUAAUGC